AAGUCGUAACAAGGUUUCCGUAGGUGAACCUGCGGAAGGAUCAUUAACACGUAUCCAAACGUUAAACCCCCCUGUGAUCCUUCAGUCGUACUCGUACGUCCGUUAGAAAAAGCAACAAUCCCUGGUAAAUCAUCGCCGAACAGUUUUCGAUUCAGGGACGUCUGCAAGGAGCGUGCCUGGCAUCCGAACGCCGAAACCGAACAACUGUUAACAAUGGAUAUCUUGGUUCUC
RNAcentral lists this unclassified non-coding RNA (231 nucleotides) under fungal sp. Its description in RNAcentral is "partial internal transcribed spacer region". The stretch from base 1 to 46 matches the Rfam family "Eukaryotic small subunit ribosomal RNA", at positions 1786 to 1831 of the family's 1831-position model. Lineage: Eukaryota; Fungi. The record is from RNAcentral.